GAAAGUAAUAAAGGGCGUAUGGGGGAUGCCUAGGCUCUUGGAGGCGAAGAAAGACGUGGUAAGCUGCGAUAAGCCUCGGGGAUUUGCAAACGAGAAUUGAUCCGAGGAUUUCUGAAUGGGACAACCCGGCAGGCAGAAGGCCUGUCACACGAAAGUGGGCCAACCCUCUGAACUGAAACAUCUUAGUAGGAGGAGGAAAAGAAAGAAACAUCGAUUUCCUAAGUAGCGGCGAGCGAACGGGAAACAGCCUAAACCACAAUUGUUACGGCAACUGUGGGGUUGUAGGACUGCAAUAUUCAAAUGACUGUGAACUGGAAUGUUCUGGAAAGUUCAUCCAUAGAGAGUGAAAGACUCGUACAGGCAAGCACGUCAGGCGAUAGCAGUAUCCUGAGUAGGGCGGGACACGAGGAAUCCUGUCUGAAUCCGCCGGGACCACCCGGUAAGGCUAAAUACUCCCAAGAGACCGAUAGUGAACCAGUACCGUGAGGGAAAGGUGAAAAGAACCCCGAACAGGGGAGUGAAAUAGAACCUGAAACCAUACGCUUACAACCUGUCGGAGCGGCUUCGUGCCGUGACGGCGUGCCUAUUGAAUAAUGAGCCUACGAGUUACUAAUCACUGGCAAGGUUAAGUGCACGGAUGCACGGAGCCGAAGCGAAAGCGAGUCUGAAUAGGGCGUUUAGUCAGUGGUUGUAGACGCGAAACCUUGCGAUCUACCCUUGAGCAGGUUGAAGGUUGGGUAAAACCAACUGGAGGACCGAACGAAUAAGCGUUGAAAAGCUUCUCGAUGACUUGAGGGUAGGGGUGAAAGGCUAAUCAAGCUGGGAAAUAGCUCGUACUCCCCGAAAUGCCUUUAGGGGCAGCGUUGUAAUUAAGAGUCUACUGGAGGUAGAGCUACUGAUUGGAUGCGGGGGCUUCACCGCCUACCAAAUCCUGACAAACUCCGAAUGCCAGUAGUAUGAUUUACAGCAGUGAGCGACCGGGUGCUAAUGUCCGGUUACGAGAGUGGAACAACACAGACCAGCAACUAAGGUCCCCAAGAGUAUACUAAGUUGAUCUAACGAUGUUUUGCUGCAGAGACAGCUAGGAUGUUAGCUUGGAAGCAGCUAUUCAUUCAAAGAGUGCGUAACAGCUCACUAGUCGAGCGGCAAAGCGUGGAUAAUAAACGGGCAUCAAGUAUACCACCGAAGUUCUGGGCACGAAAGUGCGGUAGGGGAGCAUUCCAUUCCGCGUUGAAGCCGAACCGUGAGGUUUGGUGGAGUGUAUGGAAAAGCAAAUGUAGGCAUGAGUAACGAUAAUGCGGGAGAGUAACCCGCACACCGCAAGACCAAGGUUUCCUGAUCAACGCUAAUCGGAUCAGGGUUAGUCGGGUCCUAAGGGUAAGCCGAACGGUGAUCUCGAUGGAUAAUCGGUUAAUAUUCCGAUACUGACAUAUACCUCGAUGGAGAGACGAAGGAACGUAAGUGCCGCCACCUGACGGAAUAGGUGGUUAAAGGGCUUAGGUAUAGGGGCAGAUUAAGAGUUAGUCCUUGCUGAAACCUGACAGUACAGAGAGCCUACGGGCAAUUUGAUAGUGCACCCAAGUCGACUUCCGAGAAAAUCUUCUAAGUUAUAGUAUAUGUCACCCGUACCGUAAACCGACACAGGUGGUCGAGGAGAGUAUCCUAAGGUGCUCGAGUGAAUCACGGUUAAGGAACUAGGCAAAUUAACCCCGUAACUUCGGGAAAAGGGGUCCCAUCGCGAGGUGGGCGCAGCGAAGAGGUCCAGGCGACUGUUUAUCAAAAACACAGGGCUCUGCAAAUUCGAAAGAAGACGUAUAGGGCCUGACACCUGCCCGGUGCUGGAAGGUUAAGAGGGGAUGUCAUCGCAAGAGAAGCAUUGAAUCGAAGCCCCAGUAAACGGCGGCCGUAACUAUAACGGUCCUAAGGUAGCGAAAUUCCUUGUCGGGUAAGUUCCGACCUGCACGAAUGGUGUAACGAUCUGGACACUGUCUCAACCGUGAGCUCGGUGAAAUUGUAGUCCCGGUGAUGAUGCCGGGUACCCGCAACGGGACGAAAAGACCCCGUGAACCUUUACUAU
RNAcentral lists this ribosomal RNA (2077 nucleotides) under gut metagenome. RNAcentral describes it as "bacterial LSU rRNA". It matches the Rfam family "Bacterial large subunit ribosomal RNA", at positions 1 to 2107 of the family's 2925-position model. The record is from RNAcentral.